UGCAAAGCAGCAUCGCGGUGGCGGAGCGUCGUUUGCGACGCCCAACACACAAAACAAGCGGUGAGUGCUUUGGGGUGGGGUGACUGCGUACCUUUUGUAUAAUGGGUCAGCGACUUAUAUUCUGUAGCAAGGUUAACCGUAUAGGGGAGCCGAAGGGAAACCGAGUCUUAACUGGGCGUUAAGUUGCAGGGUAUAGACCCGAAACCCGGUGAUCUAGCCAUGGGCAGGUUGAAGGUUGGGUAACACUAACUGGAGGACCGAACCGACUAAUGUUGAAAAAUUAGCGGAUGACUUGUGGCUGGGGGUGAAAGGCCAAUCAAACCGGGAGAUAGCUGGUUCUCCCCGAAAGCUAUUUAGGUAGCGCCUCGUGAACUCAUCUUCGGGGGUAGAGCACUGUUUCGGCUAGGGGGUCAUCCCGACUUACCAACCCGAUGCAAACUGCGAAUACCGAAGAAUGUUAUCACGGGAGACACACGGCGGGUGCUAACGUCCGUCGUGAAGAGGGAAACAACCCAGACCGCCAGCUAAGGUCCCAAAGUCACAGUUAAGUGGGAAACGAUGUGGGAAGGCUCAGACAGCCAGGAUGUUGGCUUAGAAGCAGCCAUCAUUUAAAGAAAGCGUAAUAGCUCACUGGUCGAGUCGGCCUGCGCGGAAGAUGUAACGGGGCUAAACUGUGCACCGAAGCUGCGGCAGCGACGCUUAUGCGUUGUUGGGUAGGGGAGCGUUCUGUAAGCCUGCGAAGGUGUCCUGUGAGGGAUGCUGGAGGUAUCAGAAGUGCGAAUGCUGACAUAAGUAACGAUAA
RNAcentral lists this ribosomal RNA (802 nucleotides) under Salmonella enterica subsp. enterica serovar Kentucky. RNAcentral describes it as "partial 23S ribosomal RNA". It matches the Rfam family "Bacterial large subunit ribosomal RNA", at positions 566 to 1315 of the family's 2925-position model. Lineage: Bacteria; Pseudomonadati; Pseudomonadota; Gammaproteobacteria; Enterobacterales; Enterobacteriaceae. The record is from RNAcentral.